RNAcentral lists this long non-coding RNA (324 nucleotides) under Capsicum annuum. RNAcentral's name for it is "long non-coding RNA (CANN_LNC010195)". The record is from RNAcentral. Lineage: Eukaryota; Viridiplantae; Streptophyta; Magnoliopsida; Solanales; Solanaceae.
CAACAACAACAACAAACCCAGUGUAUUCCCACUUGGUGGGGUCUGGGGGGGUAAGAUGUACGCAGUCCAUACCUCUACCUCUGAUGAAGUAGAAAGGCUGUUUCCGAAAGACCCCCGGCUCAAGUCACGAGAUAUCACACAAACACAUAGUACAGCACAGAAGCAGAUGACAUAACAUAGAUACGGCACCCAUAAGGAAUAUAAAACAGAGUAAAGCAGGAAUGCAGGAAUAUAAAGCAGAGGAAAGCACACAGAUUCGUAAUAAACAUGAAACACGGAACACGAAACACUGAAUACGGAAUCAUAACAGGAAUACACCCCCAU